GUGAUUUGUAUGUCUUCUUUGGAAAAAAUGUUUAUUCAGAACCUCUGUCCAAUUCUAAACAAGAUUGUUUGGUUUUUUGACAUUAAGUUGUAUGAGCUUUUUUCAUAAUCUGGAUAUGAGGACUUUCUCAACUUUCUACUAUCUCUAUGUUUAUUAGAUUCUUUAGUGAUUAAAGGUAAAUUCCAUAAAACCUAAGGACCAGGUUGUUUGCCCUUGGGCAUUUGAGGAAGAAGGAAUUUAUGGAAAUUCCAAGACUCUACAGUCAGUCUUGUUAUAAAGAAAAUGACAAAAGGAUUAGAGACAAUAACAACAUAAAAAAGGAAAGACAAGAAGUCUGCCCUGGGGCUCCUCCCCUCCCCCCCACACACAAAAGGAGAAGAUAGGGAGCUGCCUGGGCCUUAUAGCCUAGAAGCUUCUUCUCUGGUUUCCCAAAACCUUUAAUUCCUCUUGUCCAAAGAAUUGCAGCCAUCUUAGUGGACUUCUUAUAGCGCCUGUCUUUGCACCUGCCUUUUCUUCAGCCCAGGUUACUCUUCUUUGAGCACCAGAGCAGGGACUAAGUGCAAACAAGUCUCCUCUGGUGCAAAGUGUAACAAGACACCACUUUCUGGUGCUAGCCCUACAUUUCCACCACCAUGGGAGUGAGAGCUCCCCUCAAUUUUGCACCCUAGUUGCCUGUUGGGUAAAGCAAGGCUAUUUACCCUUCAGUGCUCAUCUACUCUGUCUCCAUAACCCCAGUCAAAAGUAACUGCUUGUCCUUAUGUGCUGCCACAACUCUUUGCUAAUUUUUCUAUUUAUAUUUUUCUAUUUCUAUUAUUUUUUUAUGAACCAACAUUUUUCUAUUAGUUAAUACUCCUAUCAUUCUAUGUCGAUAUCUGGAGUCAUCCUUGACUUUUCUCAUUCUUUCCCAACCACAUUCAAUACAUAGAGAAAUCAUCUUGACUCUGCCUUGAUAAUAUGCACCUGUCUGACCAGUUCUCACUCCCUACACUGUUACCACCUUCUUCUGAGACCCCUGAACAGUCACAGCAGCCUCCCAGUUUUCACUCAUUUGUCCUCCCCCCAUCCCCACCCCCAACUCCCAUCUCUCUCUAGUCUGUACUACACAAAGGAGUCAAGGGGAUCACCUUUAAAAUUUGAGACAAGAGUUCCCGCUGUAGCUCAGCAGUAAUGAAUCCGACUAGUAUCCAUGAAGAUGUGGGUUCAGUCCCUGGCCCUGCUUAGUGGGUUAAGGAUCCAGUGUUGCCAUGAGCCAUGCUUGGAUCUGGCAUUGCUGUGGCUGUGGUGUAGCCUGGCAGCUGUAGCUCCAAUUAGAUCCCUAGUCUGGGAGCUUCCGUAUGUCUCAGGUGGGGCCCUAAAAAUUUUUUUUAAUAAAGUAUUAAAUAAAUAAAUGAAAAGUUUGAGACAGAUCACAUCACUCCCCUAUCAAAACUCCCAAGUGACUCCCCAUUGACUCAGAACAAGAGCCAAUCCCUUACCAAGGCCUAAAUGCCCCAUCUGGUUCCCUACCACAUUCCCUGUCUCUCUCCAUUCCAGUCACAUUUAUUCUCCUCCCUAGUGAUCCUCCAAGCCCACUUCUCAGGUAUUUGCCAUUCAGUUGGUGCUACCUAGAAAUCUGUUCACUCAACAAGUAGCACAUUUUCUGCCUAGUAUUUUUUGGUUCUCUACUUAGCAUAUUCUCAAAGGCUAUCUGAACUAGUACCCUCAUCACUGCUUUACACUGCUUUAUCCCUUCACGUGGCUUUAUUUUUCUUCAAGGUAUUUAUUACUCUCUAUAUUUUAGUAUUUAUUUGUACAUUAUCUGUCUUUUCCACUAGAAUGUGGACUAAUAAGGGCAAGGAUUGUUGUCUGUUUUUUCCAUGAUUUAUCUUCGGUAUCUAGAACCAUGAGUAGUAUAGGGAAGGAGAUGAAUAGAUCAGAUAGACCAUGGAUGGAUAGACAGAUUGAUGGAUGAAUUCUGCUCAGCUGUAUAGCACAUUCACAUCAUUGUUUUACCCAUUAAAACCUUUGUGGUAACUGUCAAAAUCUCACUCCGAUCUAUUUCCAAGGCAUCUAGCAUAGUGCUGUGUCUCAUGCAUACUCAGUAAAUCUCUGUUAAACUGAAUCAAACCUACCUCUCUAUAACAUUUUUUCCAUUACUUUUAUCCAUCACACAUAAUUCUACAAGAUUAAGCCACCUAAAAUCCAAGUCUGAUCAUUUUUUUUUGUCCUACUACUGUAAAUCCUUCAAGGAAUUUUUCCUAAAUUUUUCAUGAAAUUAUUGUUUUGAGAAAUCUUCUAUUUAUGAAAUACAGAUAGUGUGCUUACAUGUUACUUAAUCUUCACAAUUACCUACUAGACAAGUAAUACUCUCAUCACUUGACAGACAAGGAAAUAGAGCCUCAGAAAAGUUUAAUGCUUUUUCCAGGGUCAGUUACCUAAUAAUUGUCUGAUCUACCUUAUUCCAAGAAUGCAGCUGUUACAAUACAUUUUGGUGUAAUUUCCUUGGUAUUCAAAGCCUUCCACAAUAUGGUCCCUAUCUAUCUUUUCAGUCUUACUCCUCUACUCUAGUACUCUAGCCAAAAACUAUGAUUAAACUAUAGAAGUUCAUGCUUCCUAGGAAAGCUUGUGUAAAACAGGAAAAAUGGGAAGUUAGCAAUUAGUAAAAAAUAGGGAAAUAAUUUUAUUUCUAUUUUUUUACUUAUUUAUUUAUUUAUUUUUAGGGCCACACCUGUGGCAUAUAGAGGUUCCCAGGCUAGGGGUCUAAUUGGAGCUGUAGCUGUCAGCCUACAGCACAGCCACAGAAACACCAGAUCUGAGCCACAUCUGCGACCUACACCACAGCUCACGUCAACACCAGAUCCUUAACCCACUAAGCGAGGCCAGGGAUCAAACCCCAGUCCUAGUCCAAUUCGUUUCCGCUGCACCACAACUGGAACUCCCCAGGGAAAUAAUUUUAAAGACAAUUAUAUUUCACUCCAAGGACUAUCAAUGAAAUUAGUAUCUAUCAAAAAUAACAUGGAUUGAUGGGUGGAUAGAUAGAAAUGCGACAAAGCGUCAAUAGUAAAAUGUUAACUAUGUCUAUGACUCUAAGUGAUGAGAAUACGUGUGUUCAUAGUAAAAUAUUUUCUUCGACUCUUCUUAUGCUUCAAAAUUUUUGUAAUAAAAUCUUAGGAAAAUGUAUCAAAUAAUAGGGAAAUUUCUUAUAAUAAAGUAGUAUAUUUUGAAAGCAUAGGAAAAUAGACUCUGCCCCCUCCCCAAAGAAAACAAUUUACAAAAUUAUUAAUAGUAGCUGUGUUUAGCUAGUACCAUAUGGGUAAUUUUAAUUUUUCCUUUUUGUAUUUUUAGCAUUUUACAAAUGUUUAAUGAGCAUGUCAUUCAGUUCAAAUUUUAAGUGUUUUAAAAAGUAAAAAUGCAUAGUAAAUUGCACUUUAUAAUCCUAUAAUAAAAUUAGCAGGAUUCAUGAGAAAGAAUAGGAAUCAACAGAUAGAGGCAGGCAGAUCAAAUGGAGAACUGGCCCUAAGACUGCCUCUAUGCUUUGAUAAAUGUUACCUGAAUUACUUAUAGGAUCACUCCCCACACCUUGUUUACCAAAAAGGUACCUGCUAUUUAAAUAUGCCUUUUAAAAUUAUUUCCUUGAUGAUUAAAAAGGCCAUUUCUAGUGGAACUCUUUCAUAUUCCUCUGGGUCCUAUUGCCUAGAGCUGAACCAAUAUCCACGUAGCCCUUGAUACUAUUCACUCGUAUUCACUUUAUUUGUUAGCAGAGGCCUCCAAUCAUAUGGAGCUGAAGAUUUGGUAAAUACAUCUUGGAAGCUUUUUGUAAGAAUAUUCCUGGAAUUCUGACUCCCCACUGCUAACAUAAAUAAAUUCUCUAUAUCAGCAUGCCAGAAUGGAGUUGGGCUUUGGAGCUAAGGUCAAGGGUAGGGUCAAUCAGCAGGGGUCUUAAAAAACUUCAGAGGCUAUGACAUCUCAGUGUAGAGUAAGUUUUUUCUAACGUAAAAGGGAAUGUUUGCAGAUUCUUGAAACAAACAAACAAAUGUGACUUGGCUUUUUUUUUUGGUCUCUUAAAAAAGCCAACUCUUUAGCAGUUCUCAGAUGGUAAACCCACAAAUAAAGCUCUAGGCCGCAUUUAGUUAAAAGAUAACUCUUCUGAGUUUUAACCAUUAUUUUAAUCAGGUAAUUUUCUACCAUAUAGCAAGCAGAGCCCAUUUAAUGGACAAAUUUUAAGCACAAAAAAGUCUCUAAGGCAGUAUCUUUGGAGAAAACACUAGAGAAUCAAGAGACUAUAAAAUUAAUACCAAAAAAAUUUAUUGGGCUUCAAUUAGAUUCUUGGCACAGUUUCAGUAUUCUAGUAUCAUACAGAUUUACCCAUAACUACAAUUUGGUUUGGAUUAUCUGAGGAAGAAAAUGAAGAUGUUCUUUAAAUUUACAAUGUAUAAAUGUCAUAUGAUUCUUAUAAUUCUAAGUGAAAUUAGCCCUAGCAAAAUAAUUGUUUCAUAUAGAUCUACAAAUACACAUUUAAUGUAAAAAUGAAGAAUCAUAGCAUUUUUAUUUAUUUGAAAUUAUUCUUAUUUCAAAUUUAGUUUCCAGAACAUAGACCUAUGUGGCAUUUCAUGAAAAAAGUAUUCAAUAGUCAAAUAAGUCUGGGAAAUGGUAUAUGAUCUACCCUUAUCUUGAAAACUUAUAAUUCAAAUAAUCAUAUUAAAGACUUCAAGAAAUUCUUUAAGAAGCCAGUACAACUUUGUUUAACCCAAUGUUUCUGAAAUUUCCAUGAUCAUGGAGCCCUUUUAUUGCCUAGCAUUUAUUAACAUUUUGCAGAACCUCUUUGGGAAACAGUGCUCUAGACCUCAUUAUCCUCAUUUUUAUAGGAAGCGAGGGUUUGGAGAUAAACUAGUUGGCUUAAAGAAACAGUUCUUUAUUUACUUAGACUCAUCGGAAGGUAAACUACACAGUAUUUUGUUUUCUUUUUCAGGUACACCCAAGGCAUAUGGAAGUUCCCAGGCCAGGGAUCAAAUCCAGGCUGCAGCUGUGACCUUCCCCAUGGCUGCAACAAUGCUGUAUCCUUAACCCACUGCACCACAGUGGGAACUCC
This 5068-nucleotide long non-coding RNA is filed under the name Sus scrofa (pig). RNAcentral's name for it is "lncRNA (ENSSSCG00000055837.1)". The record is from RNAcentral. Lineage: Eukaryota; Metazoa; Chordata; Mammalia; Artiodactyla; Suidae.